GCAGCAUACUUUUGUAAGUCGCUCUGGAUAGGAGCAUCUGCUAAAUGUCUGAAU
Molecule: regulatory RNA element, 54 nt
Organism: Astyanax mexicanus (Mexican tetra)
Lineage: Eukaryota; Metazoa; Chordata; Actinopteri; Characiformes; Acestrorhamphidae
Rfam family: UnaL2 LINE 3' element
About the family: The eel long interspersed element (LINE) UnaL2 and its partner short interspersed element (SINE) share a conserved 3' tail containing a stem-loop that is critical for their retrotransposition. Presumably, the first step of retrotransposition is the recognition of their 3' tails by UnaL2-encoded reverse transcriptase.
Source: Rfam